This 388-nucleotide ribosomal RNA is filed under the name Gephyrocapsa cf. oceanica. Its description in RNAcentral is "partial small subunit ribosomal RNA". It matches the Rfam family "Eukaryotic small subunit ribosomal RNA", at positions 582 to 975 of the family's 1831-position model. The record is from RNAcentral. Lineage: Eukaryota; Haptophyta; Isochrysidales; Noelaerhabdaceae.
AUUCCAGCUCCAAUAGCGUAUAUUAAAGUUGUUGCAGUUAAAACGCUCGUAGUCGGAUUUCGGGGCGGGCCGACCGGUCUGCCGAUGGGUAUGCACUGGCCGGCGCGUCCUUCCACCCGGAGACCGCGCCUCCUCUUAACUGAGCGGGCGCGGGAGACGGGUCUUUUACUUUGAAAAAAUCAGAGUGUUUCAAGCAGGCAGUCGCUCUUGCAUGGAUUAGCAUGGGAUAAUGAAAUAGGACUGUGGUUCUAUUUUGUUGGUUUCUAGAGCUGCAGUAAUGAUUAAUAGGGAUAAUUGGGGGCAUUCGUAUUAUUACGUCAGAGGUGAAAUUCUUGGAUUGUAAUACGACGAACUACUGCGAAAGCAUUUGCCAAGGAUGUUUUCAUCA